ACUGUCUCUAUUAGAUUUAUUAUUAAAAUUAACUUUUAAGUUAAAAGGCUUAAAUUUUACUUAAAGACGAGAAGACCCUAUAGAGUUUUAUAGCUUAGUUGUGGGGAGUUUUUGGCUAUUUUAUUUCUUUAUGAUGAAUGUUAUUUGGUUGGGGUGACUUAAAGAUUUAGUAAACUCUUUAAAUUUGAAGUUAUUGAUUUGUAAAUAAUUAAUCUAAUUUUUUUAAAUUUAAAAUAAAUUACCUUAGGGAUAACAGCGUAAUUUUUCUUUAGAGUUCUUAUUGAAAGGGAAGU
This 293-nucleotide ribosomal RNA is filed under the name Limonius californicus. RNAcentral describes it as "partial large subunit ribosomal RNA". The record is from RNAcentral. Lineage: Eukaryota; Metazoa; Arthropoda; Insecta; Coleoptera; Elateridae.